Long non-coding RNA from Erinaceus europaeus (western European hedgehog), 243 nucleotides. RefSeq lists it as uncharacterized. Lineage: Eukaryota; Metazoa; Chordata; Mammalia; Eulipotyphla; Erinaceidae. The record is from RefSeq and is a predicted model, not a curated record. The transcript is spliced from 3 exons.
GCGACGCGCUCAAGUUUGAAAACUCGCCAGUCGGCCGCUUCCGGGUGAGAAGCCAGAGGCGCCGCGGCCAGGAGGGGCCUGUGCGGUGCGGACUGGCGCCGGACGCCCGGGCAGGAGUGAAGGACUCAAAGAUGAAGUACUAGUUUCCGAUGGUUCUUUGGACUGUUCCAAGAGGUUUGUAUGGACAAUGGAAACAUCAUCUGUGACCUGACUUUGUCUCUCUGGAGCUUUCCAAUUCAUGAU